RNAcentral lists this ribosomal RNA (445 nucleotides) under uncultured bacterium. RNAcentral's name for it is "partial 16S ribosomal RNA". It matches the Rfam family "Bacterial small subunit ribosomal RNA", at positions 354 to 796 of the family's 1533-position model. The record is from RNAcentral.
GUAGGGAAUAUUGGGCAAUGGAGGCAGCUCUGACCCAGCCAUGCCGCGUGCAGGAUGACGGCCCUCUGGGUUGUAAACUGCUUUUAUACGGGAAGAAAAAAUACUACGUGUAGUAUACUGACGGUACCGUAAGAAUAAGGAUCGGCUAACUCCGUGCCAGCAGCCGCGGUAAUACGGAGGAUCCAAGCGUUGUCCGGAUUUAUUGGGUUUAAAGGGUGCGUAGGCGGAUCUUUAAGUCAGUGGUGAAAGCCUGCAGCUUAACUGUAGAAUUGCCAUUGAAACUGAAGAUCUUGAAUGUGGUUAAAGUAGGCGGAAUGUAUCAUGUAGCGGUGAAAUGCUUAGAUAUGAUACAGAACACCGAUAGCGAAGGCAGCUUGCUGAACCAUUAUUGACGCUGAGGCACGAAAGCGUGGGGAGCGAACAGGAUUAGAUACCCGGGUAGUCC